UUUUUAGUUGUGUUUCAAGAUGAAGAUAAAUAUUUUCUUUUUUUCUCUUAUGAUUGUGCAUAGUUUAUAUUGGGUAAGUUACUUCGUUGUGGAUAACAAUGGAAAAUCUUAUUCUGUAGAAAUCUUUGUUUGAAAUAAUUUCCUAUGCUAUUUUAAUCCAUUGCCAAGGACAAUACACGUUGAACAGCCAAUACGUGUUAGACAUGAGGUUGUAUCAGUACCAACUCCAUAGCCUUGGAAUUUGGAAAUCUGAACAGAAGAUAAGGGAGCUCGAGAUCAAGCAUUGUUACAAAAUCGUCUUUAUAAAGAACUUUAUGGGAGGGGGGGGAUUAAACCGUAUUUGAUUUUCAUGGAGCCCAUGGUUAGCCCCUCCGCAAGAGACUCUAAUCCAUGAUCUGCCAUCUAUUUUUUUCUUCUUUUUUUUAAUGAUUUUUUCAACAGCCCUGUUAGUUUUGGGACAUAGAGUAUGGCCGUUUUAGUAAAGCUGUGUCUCCUAGUAAUUUCAUUCUAAACUAUCUGGUCCAAACAGGGGUUUAUCAAUCUCCCUUGUCAACAACGUGCAUUAUUACAAAAAAUAUUCAUUUUAUCUAGAAUUAUUUGUAAGCAAAUUUUAUUUUAAAAAAAAUUUCUGCGAAAUGGUUCUCGCUGGAGAAAUAAAUUAUGGAAAUUUUCCGGCAUCACUCCUGUGUUAAUUAAACCAAAUCUUAAUUUUAUGUAUUCAUCUUUGCUUGAAAUUUUAAAAGUAAGCAGUUAAAAAGGCAUCAGUGCACAACUUUUUUUUAGUUUCUAUAAAUUAUCCAAAAUUGAAAUAAGGACUCGAGUUUUUAUUCUGGGGUUCAAUAUAAAUGUAGUUAUUAUUUUAAUGUAAACACUUUUGAAGAGCAAUAAAAAAAUUUUUUAUAAUGCAA
Molecule: long non-coding RNA, 908 nt
Organism: Parasteatoda tepidariorum (common house spider)
Lineage: Eukaryota; Metazoa; Arthropoda; Arachnida; Araneae; Theridiidae
Source: RefSeq, a predicted model, not a curated record